CAGUACUGGCCACAUUUUCUCCUGCCGCCUUCCUCAAAGCUGAAGACAUAGAGAGCAAGUUAAGCCUUCACUCUUCAACCAGCUGUAAGCUGCUUCCCACCACAAACUGCUGAGUUUAUAGCAAUGUGAUCUGCACUGCUCCUGCAGCCACUGAUACUUGGCAGAAAAAGGAUAUCUCUUCAUUCUACACAGGCGUUAAAACAGCUACUGUUCUUACAUGUAUACAUUUAGCAGACAUGUAUUGUACAUUCACUGUAUCAUCUGGACUCUUUCCUGAUAACCUGGUUGUAUUUCUCACACAUAGUAGCAAAAACACAGGGAGGCCUAGACUUUAGCCGCUGCUCAGUUUUUUUCCACAGAGGGCCCUGGGCUGACACACGAAUGGAAAAGACACAAUUCCUGUAUGUAACUAAGUCCACAUACUUCAUCUCACCACUUUUGAGUGGCCUCAGAGAACAAUGAGGUAGUACUUCUCCCAACUACAGAUAGCUACUGACAAUAUCUGAGGAAGGGAACUAAGCAAACAUCUUCUUCCCCAUCUGAAAUAGGUUAUAAUAAUGAUGAUACUAAUAAAAUAUGAAAUUCCUGAAAUUUGGCAAUAAAACAACCCUUUAUUCAGAACUUCCUGCCUUAUGUUUCAACCCUCUUUUUUCUGUUCCCUUACAGGUAGAGAUGUGAAUGAACAGAAUAGCAGUCAGAAGAAGAAGGAAAUGAAGGGCUAAGGGAACUGGCAAUUCAGCAGCCAGGAAGGCACCCUUCCUCUUCAGACAAGAGGCAGCUUAAAGGGAGGUCCUCAAACACACUGUACCAUCUCCGUAUGGGACCCAGGCUGGAUUUCUAGCACCCAUCUGACUGCUUAAAACCAGCUGUGACUCCAGUCCUUGAGGCUCCAUUGCCCUCUUCUGGCACCCAAGGGCACUAAAUACACAUGGUAGUCAAACAUAUACAGGCAAAAGUAAGUAUAUACAUACAAUAAAAAUAAAUAAAAUCUCAAAAAAUUAAUAUUACAUAUAUUUUUAAGUGUGAUAUUUGUAUAUGCUAGAAUUUGUGGCCCUGUUGGAGUAGGUGUGUCACUGUGGGUAAGGGUUAUAUAUCCUAGCUACCUGUAAGUCAGUAUUCUGCUAGCAGCCUUCAGAUGAAGAUGUAGAACUCUCAGCUCCUCCUGCACCUUG
Molecule: small RNA, 1172 nt
Filed under: Rattus norvegicus (Norway rat)
Lineage: Eukaryota; Metazoa; Chordata; Mammalia; Rodentia; Muridae
Description: uncharacterized LOC102553607
Source: RNAcentral